RNAcentral lists this ribosomal RNA (112 nucleotides) under Sclerotiniaceae sp. Its description in RNAcentral is "partial large subunit ribosomal RNA". The record is from RNAcentral. Lineage: Eukaryota; Fungi; Ascomycota; Leotiomycetes; Helotiales; Sclerotiniaceae.
UAGAAGAUGCUUCGGGUGUGGUUCCGGUCUAAGUUCCUUGGAACAGGACGUCAUAGAGGGUGAGAAUCCCGUAUGUGACUGGAUACCUAUGCUCAUGUGAAGCUCUUUCGAC